GUCUUCACAGCUGCAGGGGAGGCUCCUCCACAGCCGCCCUCCCCCCAACACGCCUGCAGGUGGGCGUGGGCACUGGUUGCCUUUUCUAGAACCAUUUGAAAGUUAGCUGAAGACAGCAUGGCACACUCCCUUCAAUAGGUCCCACAGUGACCCCGCGCAGGGCACAGCCCGGGCACCCUUGUGGCCUCGGCUGUCCUCGUUGGAACCACGAUCCUCAUGGUUGGCACCCUCCCCUCUGGCCUUUGACCUUUCACUUUAGAAGACCUGUCCCUGCGCCAGGCGUGGUGGCUCACGGCUGUAAUCCCAGACUUUCGGAGGCGGAGGCAGGCAGAUACGAGGCCAGGAGAUUGAGACCAUCCUGGCUAACUUGGUGAAACCCCG
This 381-nucleotide long non-coding RNA is filed under the name Homo sapiens (human). Its description in RNAcentral is "HSALNT0000444". Lineage: Eukaryota; Metazoa; Chordata; Mammalia; Primates; Hominidae. The record is from RNAcentral.